Non-coding RNA from Nicotiana tabacum (common tobacco), 2371 nucleotides. Lineage: Eukaryota; Viridiplantae; Streptophyta; Magnoliopsida; Solanales; Solanaceae. The record is from RefSeq and is a predicted model, not a curated record.
UAUACAUCAUUAAAGAGCCGUCGUGGCUGAGAUUUAGCUAGGCUGGCAAAGGGGGAAAUGGCCAUCCUCUUCAACUUCCUCAAGCCUCUUCUUCUCCUCCUCCUUACUCUUUCAGAUUUAUUUGGCAGUACCCUCAGCCUUGGAAUUGGAAUUAACUAUGGCCAAAUUGCCAAUAAUUUGCCAACACCGUCGCGAGUUUCCUAUCUCCUCAGAUCUAUCAAUGUUACGAGAGUAAAACUUUAUGACGCUGAUCCAAACGUGUUAAGCGCAUUUGCUAACACGGAUGUGGAAUUCGUUAUUGGACUUGGGAAUGAGUACCUACAAAGAAUGACUGAUCCUCAACAAGCUCAGGCUUGGAUUCAAUCGCAUGUUCAACCUUACCAUACUCAGACUAAAAUCACUUGUAUUACUGUUGGGAACGAGAUCUUAACGGGGAACGAUACACAGAUGAUGAAUAACCUCCUCCCGGCAAUGCAAGGUGUAUAUCGGGCUCUUGUUAAUCUUGGCCUUAGCAAUGAUAUAUAUGUGGCACACGCCCACUCGGCUGGGAUCUUGGGCAACUCUUUUCCGCCUUCCUCUGGUUCAUUUCGACAAGAUCUUGCUGAAUACAUUCAUGGCAUUCUCAAUUUCCAUGCCCAGACCAAGUCCCCGUUCCUUAUAAAUGCCUAUCCAUUCUUUGCAUACAAAGACAGCCCCGAUCAAGUCCCGCUUGAUUAUGUACUUUUCCGGCCUAAUGCUGGUACGAUUGACCCAAUCACAAAUUUAAAGUAUGACAACAUGUUAUAUGCACAAAUUGAUGCAGUUCAUUCAGCGAUUAAGGCAAUGGGCUACUCAGACAUUCAAGUUAAGGUUUCUGAGACAGGGUGGCCAUCGAAGGGCGACCCAAAUGAGUUUGGAGCAACACCUGAAAAUGCUGCACAAUAUAAUGGUAACUUGUUUCGGCGUAUACAGCAAAAUCAAGGAACUCCAGCAAAUCCAUCUGAGCCCAUUGAUAUAUAUGUGUUUGCGCUCUUUAAUGAAAAUUUAAAGCCUGGUCCAGCAUCAGAGCGGAAUUAUGGCCUCUACUAUCCCGAUGGAACUCCAGUUUAUAACAUCGGGUUACAAGGAUUUCUUCCGCGUAUGGAUUAUUCAGCUGCCAAGAAAAAAGCCUUGUCUGUUUCUGCUUUUCUUCUGCUUGUUCUGGUUUUCUUGAUACACUUCUGAAAGUUGUACAAUAGAUCAAAUAUGGAGAUACAAGUAGAUUAGAGAUUAUUCAAUUUUGUCAAGAACUUUUGCUGAUAGAUAGGUAUUAAAGGUCGAGAGGGGGGUCGGGCAUAAAAGGAAAAAAAAAUAUCCCUUUAGAUAUUUAUUUUGGUUUUCUUGUAGAUAAAAGUAUGUGCUUAUAAAGAACUGAUCUGGCAUGAUGGAAAUUUUUGGUUGGCAAAUUCUUGAAAAGGUGUAACACAGUAGGAUUCUUUUAGCAGCAAAGUUGGCUGCGUGACUUUAAACAUGAUGGAGCCCAUUUGUAAUCUUUUCUUACAUCAGCAAUGGCUUAAUAUGAGUAGAUAAACUUGACAAAUGGAAGAAUCCACUUUGGCAUUUUCCACAUACUGCCUUUGCUAUAUUCCCACUGAAUUUGAUUCUCUAGUUGUUAUGGCAAACCUUCACCACAUCUAGUUAGUUUCAGAAACUAGUACUACCACUUUAUACCCUCUUUGCUACAAAGUUUUCUCUUGCUUUGCGUACCGAUCAGAAAAAGUUCUCUUGCGCUGCCAGCCUGCCCUUCACUACUGGACAUGUAUCUACUGACCGGCCCUUGGUUGUGUUCAGCGGCAGAGCUAGUAUUUGAAAUAUAUGGGUUCAGGAUUCUGGUCCUUUUAAGUUAUUAGAUUCUAAAUUAAUAAUUUAUUCAUAUUCAAUAGAUUAUUUAAGACAAAUACAGGAUUUAGACGGAAGCUACUGCAAAGAGGAAGCUCCGCCCCUUGUUGUGCUGCCGGACAUGCAGGCACUUGUCGUGAUCUUGAUAUAGAACUUGACAUAGAAACCUGAUUAGGGCAAGAAACGCUUGAUUAUGAAGGUCCUAUAUCUCUGUGUUGUUCCAUUGAUACAAAUAUUUCGACUUUGGAUAUCUUUAGACCUGCCUAGAUUCCAUCUGGGGCGGGAGAUACCCUGCGCGCGUUUAACAGAUCACUAGUGAUCGCGACAGGAAACAGCUUUGAAGCGGACAUAUUCGAUGCGUUUAAUUUUGUCUUUGACAACAACUAAUUUUCAAAUUUGGCUGUGAAACAUGCAUGGCUGCUGAAAUAUAUGUUAUUAUACUCUUCAGCAGAUAAUGAUGGUUUCUUAGUCUUGAUUCGGUUCAUGUAAUGUGUAUAUUAAUUGAAUUUUGCUU